AUUGAACGCUGGCGGCAGGCCUAACACAUGCAAGUCGAACGGUAACAGGAAACAGCUUGCUGUUUCGCUGACGAGUGGCGGACGGGUGAGUAAUGUCUGGGAAACUGCCUGAUGGAGGGGGAUAACUACUGGAAACGGUAGCUAAUACCGCAUAACGUCGCAAGACCAAAGAGGGGGACCUUCGGGCCUCUUGCCAUCGGAUGUGCCCAGAUGGGAUUAGCUAGUAGGUGGGGUAACGGCUCACCUAGGCGACGAUCCCUAGCUGGUCUGAGAGGAUGACCAGCCACACUGGAACUGAGACACGGUCCAGACUCCUACGGGAGGCAGCAGUGGGGAAUAUUGCACAAUGGGCGCAAGCCUGAUGCAGCCAUGCCGCGUGUAUGAAGAAGGCCUUCGGGUUGUAAAGUACUUUCAGCGGGGAUGAAGGGAGUAAAGUUAAUACCUUUGCUCAUUGACGUUACCCGCAGAAGAGGCACCGGCUAACUCCGUG
This 490-nucleotide ribosomal RNA is filed under the name uncultured bacterium. Its description in RNAcentral is "partial 16S ribosomal RNA". It matches the Rfam family "Bacterial small subunit ribosomal RNA", at positions 30 to 507 of the family's 1533-position model. The record is from RNAcentral.